CUGUGUCUGAAAAACAAUCAGCAGCAAUUAAAAUCCUUAAUUUAAUAUCAUGAUUCCGUUACAGGAAAUCUUUCCAGCCAACAGCCAUCACUAAUAGUUACAACACUUAAUUUCCCUUUGGGAUCAACAAAGUAUUUUUGAAUUUGAAAUAUCAGGAAAGUAGCUUCAGAUGCUGCGGGACAAACUGGCCACUCCUCCUCUCUUUCUUCUUCUACUACUCUCCAGUUUGCACCGUUUGCUGUCAUUUUCUCUCCAUGGCAGAUCCACCUGCUCUGUGUUCUGAUUGGCUGAUUCCUUCCUGGAGGCGGCUGACAUGAUGCUGCCAUCACCUAAUCGCUCUCCCUCUCCUGCUGGUUCUACUUUCAUGAACAUCAGAAAUAAUCCAACAUCACUUCAUAUGUUUCUUCUUCUACUGUGUCUUCGCUAACCUCCAGUCAGUCGGGUCACAUGAGCCCGGUUCUGGUUCUGCUGGAGAUUUCUUCCUGUUAAAGGGGAAUUUUUCCUCUCCACUGUAGCUACAUUCAUGCUCUGUAUGAGCAAUGGCUGUAAAGUUAAUGAUUCCAUGCAAGUGAUUGUCGCCCCCUGCUGGCCAGGAGGAGUGAAUGCUGUAAGGACCUGCUGGGCUUCCUUAGAUAGAAACUUCUGAACAAUUAGAGCAUACUGUACAGCUUGGGAACUAGGAUCAGUUAGAAUGUGUGAUUGAAUGGAAAUAUUUUUGUAAAAUGAGAUGACACUUAUGAAGACGCCUUCAUGCUUAUAACAGAUGUUAUGCCAUGUUUAUGACAGUGUAAUGUCAGACUUAUACAUACCCCGUCAAAUAAAGAGUUACCCAACUCCGCUUCUACUUGUCAAACAGCGCGGCGAAUGACGAGCAGCCCGGUAGCAGUCUCCCUUCUCUGCGUUUGAUCCUGGCAUUAAUGGUGGAAAGUACCGGAAUGGCGACUGCAGGGAAGGGAAACUGGUACCGGACUGGUCCAUCAUCCGCCGGUCUGUUGUUACAAGCGUAGUGUGCAUGAAGUCAGUGUAGCUUAGCCUAGCACCGAAUGUCAGCCAUGAGAGGAACGGCGGGCGGGACUUGCUUCAGAGGUCCGCACUAAUAUUAUACUUUCAUAUCACGGUGGGGCCACCAGACAUCGUCCCGCGGGCUCCAAGAAUGAGACCUCUGGUCUAAAGAGUUCAAGGGAAAUGAAAGAACUUGGGUUGGAAUGAAAUGGACUCGUGGGAAAGACACUGUUCGUAUACAACACUACACAUAUUUGUUUUACAAUUUAUAUACAAUACAGGUGGCCUACACAUAAUUAAUACACUAGGAACACGUGGGUGAGUGUGAGUGAACAUGAAUAUGUGAGAGAGUAUGAGUGAGAAUGUGAACGUAAGAGUGCGUGAAUGAGCACAACCAUUAUGUGACAAUAUUAUUCCUACAAAGACUUUGGUUAUUAUAAUUCAGUACUUCAAUUACUCAAUCACUCUGAAUUAUAUGUGCUUUAUGGACAUUUCUUCAUAAGUUGUCAUCAAGAUUAUGUAUCAGUGCUGUUGUAUUAACCAUUAUCAUGAAUAUCUAUGAUUUGGUUCACUGUGGAUCCAUGAUUGUGUUAUAUUUGUGCUAAUUUCAUGUGAUGCUGGCGGGUGCCUGUGGCGGGAAUCAUAAGGUAGUUUUUUCCCUGAAAUAACACAAAUCAACAAAAGGCCAACAGAGUUUUUCACUCUUAUACAAAUGGAGAUCCACCUGCUCUGUGUUCUGAUUGGCUGAUUCCUUCCUGGAGGCGGCUGACAUGAUGCUGCCAUCACCUAAUCGCUCUCCCUCUCCUGCUGGUUCUACUUUCAUGAACAUCAGAAAUAAUCCAACAUCAGUUCAUCUGUUUAUUCUUUUGAACCUCCAGCCAGUUGGGUCACAUUACCGGUUCUGGUUCUGCUGGAGGUUUCUUCCUGUUAAAGGGGAGUUUUUCCUCUCCACUAAUUGGUCCCAGGAGGAGUGAUGAUGCAAGUCAAUGACUCGAUGAAAUUUUCUGGUUUUCCUUCUAUUUCAUCCUUGCUGCCAUUGCAGAGCUUAAUCUCGCUGGAUUAGACUAGAAUAACCAGCCUAAUCUCUGGUUCUUUAAAUAAUACAAGUUUACAUUUGUUAUUUUGGGAGCACAAUGCACUUAAAUGCAUCAUGUGCUAUGCUGAAUUAACGACAUCUGAGAGUAGUAGGACAUCUUCAUCAAUUAUUCAUCCUGAAAUUUGUAGUUUUGAUAUAUCGAGGGACUAGAUGUGAUGUCUUCUCUGGAUGUGUUUUAAUGUUUAUGAAGCAUGCUGUUAUCAAAUUCUUUUUGGGAUAUUAUUAAAACUGACCUGAACUAAAACAUGGCUGUU
This is a long non-coding RNA of Poecilia latipinna (sailfin molly), 2352 nucleotides long. RefSeq lists it as uncharacterized. The transcript is spliced from 2 exons. NCBI's taxonomy places the organism in Eukaryota, Metazoa, Chordata, Actinopteri, Cyprinodontiformes, Poeciliidae. The record is from RefSeq and is a predicted model, not a curated record.